UCGAGAAUUUUUCUCAAUGGGCGAAAGCCUGAAGGAGCGACGCCGCGUGGGGGAUGAAUGGCUUCGGCCCGUAAACCCCUGUCAUUUGCGAACAAAUUGAUUCACCUAACACGUGUAUCAUUGAUUGUAGCGGAAGAGGAAGGGACGGCUAACUCUGUGCCAGCAGCCGCGGUAAUACAGAGGUCCCAAGCGUUGUUCGGAUUCACUGGGCGUAAAGGGUGCGUAGGCGGUUGGGUAAGUUUGACGUGAAAUCUCCGGGCCUAACCCGGAAACUGCGUUGAAUACUAUCCGGCUAGAGGAAUGGAGGGGAGACUGGAAUACUUGGUGUAGCAGUGAAAUGCGUAGAUAUCAAGUGGAACACCAGUGGCGAAGGCGAGUCUCUGGACAUUUCCUGACGCUGAGGCACGAAAGCCAGGGGAGCAAACGGG
Molecule: ribosomal RNA, 428 nt
Filed under: uncultured Verrucomicrobiota bacterium
Lineage: Bacteria; Pseudomonadati; Verrucomicrobiota
Description: bacterial SSU rRNA
Rfam family: Bacterial small subunit ribosomal RNA
Source: RNAcentral